This 253-nucleotide ribosomal RNA is filed under the name uncultured bacterium. Its description in RNAcentral is "partial 16S ribosomal RNA". It matches the Rfam family "Bacterial small subunit ribosomal RNA", at positions 524 to 776 of the family's 1533-position model. The record is from RNAcentral.
GACCGAGGCCCCAAGCGUUAGGCGGAAUCACUGGGCUUAAAGCGUGUGUAGGCGGAUCGUUAAGUGUCUUGUGAAAUCCCACGGCUCACCCGUGGAACUGCUGGGCAUACUGGCGAUCUUGGGCCAACUAGGGGCAGUCGGAACAAGCGGUGGAGCGGUGAAAUGCGUAGAUAUCAGGAGGAACACCGGUGGUGAAAACGAGUCUCUGGUCCGCUUCUGACGCUCAGGUGCGAAAGCUAGGGGAGCAAACGGG